ACGUAGGGGGCGAGCGUUGUCCGGAAUUACUGGGCGUAAAGGGUUCGCAGGCGGCAUGGCAAGUCCGAUGUAAAAGGCGAAGGCUCAACCUUCGUAAGCAUCGGAAACUGUCAAGCUUGAGUGAAGGAGAGGCAAGUGGAAUUCCUAGUGUAGCGGUGGAAUGCGUAGAUAUUAGGAGGAAUACCGGUGGCGAAGGCGACUUGCUGGACUUCAACUGACGCUGAGGAACGAAAGCGUGGGUAGCAAACAG
RNAcentral lists this ribosomal RNA (250 nucleotides) under uncultured bacterium. RNAcentral describes it as "partial 16S ribosomal RNA". It matches the Rfam family "Bacterial small subunit ribosomal RNA", at positions 525 to 775 of the family's 1533-position model. The record is from RNAcentral. RNAcentral also lists the same sequence under 1 other name.